This 742-nucleotide long non-coding RNA is filed under the name Ananas comosus (pineapple). RNAcentral's name for it is "long non-coding RNA (ACOM_LNC035826)". Lineage: Eukaryota; Viridiplantae; Streptophyta; Magnoliopsida; Poales; Bromeliaceae. The record is from RNAcentral.
AAUUCUUUAGAGUUAAGGAACAGAUUGAACUGAAUAUCCUUAUAGUUAAGGAUUGAUCAUACUCGCUAUAAGUCCUUGCUUGAGGGUAGUCGCUCCCCCUCGGGCGAUGCGCUCCGGAGUUUGUCAUCACUGAGUUGAGUUACUCAGAGGACGGUCCUAGCGGGAGGAAGCUGAGGGCCCGCGAUCAUGGAUUUGAGUUGUGAGUUAAUCAGGCGAUACCCCCAGGUUAGCCUUGAGAUUGAACAAAUAACAAAGAACAAAGAACAAAGAACAUCGACCACGCAUUCUUCAUGAAUUUAUAUUGAGCAUCUUAUUGAUAGCAUUGUUCAGGUAUAUUAGCUGCAUUUGUAUAGUUGGCUACUUAUCUGCUUAUUCUUUCUAUUAUGGCUGAGUUAGACCUAGUGAGAAAGUCGGUGAGAUUGGGGCCGAACCCACUGGGAAUUUUGUUGUAGUUCUCACCCCACUAUUCCACAGAGCUGGGACCGAGCGAGCCGGCGAGCGACCGUGGUAAAGGUAUCGCAUCUUAGUCAGAAGCCACCAGAGUUGGGUUUACAUUUUGUAGUAGCAUUCCCCUACUUCAUCUUUUGUAUUUGAUGAUUUGAGAUGUAAAAGAAAAAGAAUGUAAUGUUUAUCUCGAGGAGAAUGUGAUGUAAAAUGAAAUGAUGAAAAGUAUGUAAAGAAUUAUGAAUGCAAUGUAUGUGAUCAAAAGAGAAUCAUAGUACUUGUGUAGAUGUUUAGUUUU